GACGAACGCUGGCGGCGUGCUUAACACAUGCAAGUCGAACGCUGAACCCGCUUCGGUGGGGGAUGAGUGGCGAACGGGUGAGUAGCACGUGGGCAACCUGCCCCCGGCUCUGGGAUAACUCCAAGAAAUUGGGGCUAAUACCGGAUGUGACCGCUGGCCGCAUGGUCUGGUGGUGGAAAGGGUUUCCGGCUGGGGAUGGGCCCGCGGCCUAUCAGCUUGUUGGUGGGGUAGUGGCCUACCAAGGCGACGACGGGUAGCCGGCCUGAGAGGGUGACCGGCCACACUGGGACUGAGACACGGCCCAGACUCCUACGGGAGGCAGCAGUGGGGAAUAUUGCGCAAUGGGCGGAGGCCUGACGCAGCGACGCCGCGUGGGGGAUGACGGCCUUCGGGUUGUAAACCUCUUUCAGCAGGGACGAAGCGCAAGUGACGGUACCUGCAGAAGAAGCACCGGCCAACUACGUG
RNAcentral lists this ribosomal RNA (465 nucleotides) under uncultured bacterium. Its description in RNAcentral is "partial 16S ribosomal RNA". It matches the Rfam family "Bacterial small subunit ribosomal RNA", at positions 28 to 507 of the family's 1533-position model. The record is from RNAcentral.